AAGGUUGUCCCAACGUUUCAACCCCUAAGGGUCUUUUUCAAGGUCCAUGGACCUUGAAAAAGACCCUCAGGGGUCAAAAUGUUGGGACAACCUUGAAAUAAAAAUA
Pelobates cultripes (western spadefoot toad) is the source of this 106-nucleotide non-coding RNA. The record is from the annotation of a GenBank genome assembly. NCBI's taxonomy places the organism in Eukaryota, Metazoa, Chordata, Amphibia, Anura, Pelobatidae.